This 213-nucleotide long non-coding RNA is filed under the name Amborella trichopoda. Its description in RNAcentral is "long non-coding RNA (ATRI_LNC005394)". The record is from RNAcentral. Lineage: Eukaryota; Viridiplantae; Streptophyta; Magnoliopsida; Amborellales; Amborellaceae.
UAAAAUUAGAUGGUUGCAUUUAUUCAAUUGACCAAGCUCAAAUUUUAAAAGUAAUUUUCUCGAACUUUAUGAAACACCCAAACUAUCAAAUUUCUCAUCGAAUGUUGCAAGUAAUUGUGACCUCCUUGUCUCAAAAGUAAAUGGUCUCCUUAUAUACAAUCCCAUAAAUUAUAGACGUAUCAAAACAAACUUUAAUUAAAUUACAAAAUAACC